UGCCUUCCAGAACUGGGCAAAGUCCUUCAGCAUAAAUCCCCAACAUACAGCUCUGGGACAGCUGUGGCUGAGGUAGAGGACCAUGCCAAGAGGACGCUGCAUCAACCAAGACAACGUGCCUCAGCCUGAGUCACCCGUGGAGGCCGCAGCCUGUAGUCAGGCAGCAGGAGAAAAGUCUGCCUUCUCAGAACAUCUUAUUGGUGUCUCCACCCCAUCCAAGCAUCCCCGUGUUGAUGAAGAUGGUAAUGAAUACACAGAAACACUUGUUUGGCCCUAACCGGUUUGGCUCAGUGGAUAGAGUGUCGGCCUGUGGACUGAAAGGUCCCAGGUUGGAUUCCAGUCAAGGGCAUGUACCUUGGUUGUGGGCACACCCCCAAUAGGAGGUGUGCAGGAGGCAGCUGAUCGAUGUUUCUCUCCCAUCAAUGUUUCUGACUCUCUAUCCCUCUCCCUUCCUCUCUGUAAAAAAUCAAUAAAAUAUAUAUUUUUUAAAAAA
Molecule: long non-coding RNA, 493 nt
Organism: Eptesicus fuscus (big brown bat)
Lineage: Eukaryota; Metazoa; Chordata; Mammalia; Chiroptera; Vespertilionidae
Exons: 3
Source: RefSeq, a predicted model, not a curated record